This 439-nucleotide ribosomal RNA is filed under the name uncultured Coriobacteriaceae bacterium. RNAcentral's name for it is "bacterial SSU rRNA". It matches the Rfam family "Bacterial small subunit ribosomal RNA", at positions 338 to 795 of the family's 1533-position model. Lineage: Bacteria; Bacillati; Actinomycetota; Coriobacteriia; Coriobacteriales; Coriobacteriaceae. The record is from RNAcentral.
CCUACGGGCGGCUGCAGUGGGGAAUUUUGCGCAAUGGGCGAAAGCCUGACGCAGCAACGCCGCGUGCGGGAUGACGGCCUUCGGGUUGUAAACCGCUUUCAGCAGGGAAGAAAUUGACGGUACCUGCAGAAGAAGCUCCGGCUAACUACGUGCCAGCAGCCGCGGUAAUACGUAGGGAGCAAGCGUUAUCCGGAUUUAUUGGGCGUAAAGCGCGCGUAGGCGGUUUGUUAAGCGGAAUCUCUAAUCUGAGGGCUCAACCCCCAGCCGGAUUCCGAACUGGCAGACUCGAGUUUGGUAGAGGAAGAUGGAAUUCCCAGUGUAGCGGUGAAAUGCGCAGAUAUUGGGAAGAACACCGAUGGCGAAGGCAGUCUUCUGGGCCAUAACUGACGCUGAGGUGCGAAAGCGUGGGGAGCAAACAGGCUUAGAUACCCCAGUAGUC